GACGAACGCUGGCGGCGUGCUUAACACAUGCAAGUCGAACGGAAAGGCCCUUCGUUUGUGGGGUGCUCGAGUGGCGAACGGGUGAGUAACACGUGAGUAACCUGCCCUUGACUUUGGGAUAACUUCAGGAAACUGGGGCUAAUACCGGAUAGGAGCUCCUGCUGCAUGGUGGGGGUUGGAAAGUUUCGGCGGUUGGGGAUGGACUCGCGGCUUAUCAGAUUGGUGGUGGGGUAGUGGCUUGCCAAGGCUUUGACGGGUUGACGGACUGAGAGGGUGACCGGCCACAUUGGGACUGAGAUACGGCCCAGACUCCUACGGGAGGCAGAAGUGGGGAAUAUUGCACAAUGGGCGGAAGCCUGAUGCAGCAACGCCGCGUGCGGGAUGACGGCCUUCGGGUUGUAAACCGCUUUCGCCUGUGACGAAGCGUGAGUGACGGUAAUGGGUAAAGAAGCACCGGCUAACUACGUG
Molecule: ribosomal RNA, 468 nt
Filed under: uncultured bacterium
Lineage: Bacteria
Description: partial 16S ribosomal RNA
Rfam family: Bacterial small subunit ribosomal RNA
Source: RNAcentral